RNAcentral lists this ribosomal RNA (219 nucleotides) under uncultured bacterium. Its description in RNAcentral is "partial 16S ribosomal RNA". It matches the Rfam family "Bacterial small subunit ribosomal RNA", at positions 134 to 354 of the family's 1533-position model. The record is from RNAcentral.
UACUCGGGGAUAGCCUUUCGAAAGAAAGAUUAAUACCCGAUGUUAUAGUCCUACCGCAUGAUGGGAUUAUUAAAGAAUUUCGGUAUGGGAUGGGGAUGCGUUCCAUUAGUUAGUUGGCGGGGUAACGGCCCACCAAGACAACGAUGGAUAGGGGUUCUGAGAGGAAGGUCCCCCACAUUGGAACUGAGACACGGUCCAAACUCCUACGGAAGGCAGCAG